AAAAGUCCCAUGGCUUUAUCAUGUGUACAUAUGAGGUAAAAGCAAAGGUCAAAAUCUAGAACGUUUAAUUAGCAUAUGACCUUGAGCUCAAUUUCAAGGUCAUAAACCAAGGACCUCAAAUCAAAAGACUCUAGUCCUCUACUUUAUAUUGUUAAUGAGUUAUAUUACCAUACGUAUGAUAUUAGAUAUAAAAAGGGGGAAAACUCGCGUCAAAUGUCUACGUACCCUUUCGACUAAAAUUUAUGUGUUACGAUAUGUCGUAACUAACAAUUGUGUGAAAAUAUUUAGUCGAUAUCUUGUAUGAUUUCUGAAAAUAAGAGAUAACAAGCC
Molecule: long non-coding RNA, 330 nt
Filed under: Mytilus galloprovincialis (Mediterranean mussel)
Lineage: Eukaryota; Metazoa; Mollusca; Bivalvia; Mytilida; Mytilidae
Source: RNAcentral